CUGGCGGCGUGCUUAACACAUGCAAGUCGAACGAGAAUCUGCGGAAAGAGGAUUCGUCCAAUUGAAGCAGAGGACAGUGGCGGACGGGUGAGUAACGCGUGAGGAACCUGCCUUUCAGAGGGGGACAACAGUUGGAAACGACUGCUAAUACCGCAUGACACAUCGGGGUCGCAUGGCUCUGAUGUCAAAGAUUUAUCGCUGAAAGAUGGCCUCGCGUCUGAUUAGCUAGUUGGUGGGGUAACGGCCUACCAAGGCGACGAUCAGUAGCCGACCUGAGAGGGUGAUCGGCCACAUUGGAACUGAGACACGGUCCAAACUCCUACGGGAGGCAGCAGUGGGGAAUAUUGCACAAUGGGCGAAAGCCUGAUGCAGCAACGCCGCGUGAGCGAAGAAGGUCUUCGGAUCGUAAAGCUCUGUCCUUGGGGAAGAUAAUGACGGUACCCUUGGAGGAAGCCCCGGCUAACUACGUG
Molecule: ribosomal RNA, 470 nt
Filed under: uncultured bacterium
Lineage: Bacteria
Description: bacterial SSU rRNA
Rfam family: Bacterial small subunit ribosomal RNA
Source: RNAcentral